Molecule: ribosomal RNA, 1372 nt
Filed under: uncultured bacterium
Lineage: Bacteria
Description: bacterial SSU rRNA
Rfam family: Bacterial small subunit ribosomal RNA
Source: RNAcentral
GAUAAACGCUGGCGGCGUGCCUAAUACAUGCAAGUCGAGCGAACGGACGAGAAGCUUGCUUCUCUGAUGUUAGCGGCGGACGGGUGAGUAACACAUGGAUAACCUACCUAUAAGACUGGGAUAACUUCGGGAAACCGGAGCUAAUACCGGAUAAUAUUUUGAACCGAAUGGUUCAAAAGUGAAAGACGGUCUUGCUGUCACUUAUAGAUGGAUCCGCGCUGCAUUAGCUAGUUGGUAAGGUAACGGCUUACCAAGGCAACGAUGCAUAGCCGACCUGAGAGGGUGAUCGGCCACACUGGAACUGAGACACGGUCCAGACUCCUACGGGAGGCAGCAGUAGGGAAUCUUCCGCAAUGGGCGAAAGCCUGACGGAGCAACGCCGCGUGAGUGAUGAAGGUCUUCGGAUCGUAAAACUCUGUUAUUAGGGAAGAACAUAUGUGUAAGUAACUGUGCACAUCUUGACGGUACCUAAUCAGAAAGCCACGGCUAACUACGUGCCAGCAGCCGCGGUAAUACGUAGGUGGCAAGCGUUAUCCGGGAUUAUUGGGCGUAAAGCGCGCGUAGGCGGUUUUUUAAGUCUGAUGUGAAAGCCCACGGCUCAACCGUGGAGGGUCAUUGGAAACUGGAAAACUUGAGUGCAGAAGAGGAAAGUGGAAUUCCAUGUGUAGCGGUGAAAUGCGCAGAGAUAUGGAGGAACACCAGUGGCGAAGGCGACUUUCUGGUCUGUAACUGACGCUGAUGUGCGAAAGCGUGGGGAUCAAACAGGAUUAGAUACCUUGGUAGUCCACGCCGUAAACGAUGAGUGCUAAGUGUUAGGGGGUUUCCGCCCCUUAGUGCUGCAGCUAACGCAUUAAGCACUCCGCCUGGGGAGUACGACCGCAAGGUUGAAACUCAAAGGAAUUGACGGGGACCCGCACAAGCGGUGGAGCAUGUGGUUUAAUUCGAAGCAACGCGAAGAACCUUACCAAAUCUUGACAUCCUUUGACAACUCUAGAGAUAGAGCCUUCCCCUUCGGGGGACAAAGUGACAGGUGGUGCAUGGUUGUCGUCAGCUCGUGUCGUGAGAUGUUGGGUUAAGUCCCGCAACGAGCGCAACCCUUAAGCUUAGUUGCCAUCAUUAAGUUGGGCACUCUAAGUUGACUGCCGGUGACAAACCGGAGGAAGGUGGGGAUGACGUCAAAUCAUCAUGCCCCUUAUGAUUUGGGCUACACACGUGCUACAAUGGACAAUACAAAGGGCAGCGAAACCGCGAGGUCAAGCAAAUCCCAUAAAGUUGUUCUCAGUUCGGAUUGUAGUCUGCAACUCGACUACAUGAAGCCGGAAUCGCUAGUAAUCGUAGAUCAGCAUGCUACGGUGAAUACGUUCCCGGGUCU